Molecule: transfer RNA, 71 nt
Filed under: Loxodonta africana (African savanna elephant)
Lineage: Eukaryota; Metazoa; Chordata; Mammalia; Proboscidea; Elephantidae
Rfam family: tRNA
About the family: Transfer RNA (tRNA) molecules are approximately 80 nucleotides in length. Their secondary structure includes four short double-helical elements and three loops (D, anti-codon, and T loops).
Source: Rfam by way of RNAcentral
GCACUGGUAGUUCAGUGAUAGAAUUCUCACCUUCCAUGCGGGAGAUCUGGGUUUGAUUCCUGGCCAAUGCA